This 321-nucleotide long non-coding RNA is filed under the name Brassica napus (rape). RNAcentral's name for it is "long non-coding RNA (BNAP_LNC007903)". The record is from RNAcentral. Lineage: Eukaryota; Viridiplantae; Streptophyta; Magnoliopsida; Brassicales; Brassicaceae.
UCUUAUCUUCUCUUCCACAUAUCUCUGCAAAGAGCUGAUCUUUUUCGAAUCGAAGAGCAGCUCAAUGUUUUUCCUUUUCUUCUCCUCCUUUCCUAAUUUUGCAUCCUUUAUUUAUUCUUUCUUUUUCCUUUUUCCUCUUUCGUUCUUCCCCUUCUCUCUUUCUUUAUGCCUCUUUCAGAUCUGUAUUUUUUUUUAGCUAAGUAAGAUCUGUGAAUCGCUCAAAACAUCACCACCACUCACUCAACUCUUUGCACGACUGCCGUCUCUACCGCAACCUUUUCACUGCCACCGUCACAAUCGCAACUUCUCUUAUCGCCAACU